Molecule: non-coding RNA, 107 nt
Filed under: Massilibacterium senegalense
Lineage: Bacteria; Bacillati; Bacillota; Bacilli; Caryophanales; Bacillaceae
Description: SAM riboswitch (S box leader)
Rfam family: SAM riboswitch aptamer (S box leader)
About the family: The SAM riboswitch is found upstream of a number of genes which code for proteins involved in methionine or cysteine biosynthesis in Gram-positive bacteria. The SAM riboswitch acts at the level of transcription termination control.
Source: RNAcentral
CUUAUCGUGAGAGGUGGAGGGACUGGCCCUAUGAAACCCGGCAACCGGCAAAUAUCAUUUUGACAAGGUGCCAAUUCCUGCAAGGCUUAUAGCUUUGAAAGAUAAGG